Non-coding RNA from Gorilla gorilla gorilla (western lowland gorilla), 117 nucleotides. It matches the Rfam family "Metazoan signal recognition particle RNA". From Rfam's summary of the family: The signal recognition particle (SRP) is a universally conserved ribonucleoprotein. It is involved in the co-translational targeting of proteins to membranes. The record is from Rfam. Lineage: Eukaryota; Metazoa; Chordata; Mammalia; Primates; Hominidae.
GCCAGGUGUGGUGGCUCACACCUGUAAUCCCAGCACUUUGGGAGGCGGAGGCAGGCGGAUCACCUGAGGUCAGGAGUUCAAGACCAGCCUGGCCAACAUGGUGAAACCCUGUCUCUA